AGAGGCUGCGGAAGGAAGAAGAGAAGCAAGUGGAAGAAGAAAAAGUGGAAAUGUUUGCCGUUGAUAAGGGAGAAGAUUCAAGGUGAAAAUCGGUGGUUAGCCAAACAUUAUGUAUUCGAGAUAGCUACAAGUUUCUCCGAGAGAUUCGUGACGUCACUACGCCGGCCUAUGUAAAGGUGAAGCACGCGGAGCGUCAGUACAUCGUUGUCCGUCACGUCGAUCGGGUCUCAACUUUGAAUCGCCCUCUGCUCCUCCGAGAGUCGUAAACGAAUCUUUAAUUCGAGCCAAUCGACAACGAAAAUCAUCGUUAUCCCACUGACGACGACAUCUUUACGCUCAUCUACGAAGGUAACAGAAUGAUCAUCCCUUCGACGUUUUUGUUAAUGGUAUCCGUCACAUUCGCGAUCGCCGAAGAGUCCAUGUCAGAAAAUGUUCUCUCCGACAAACGUGCCGUUAUGGGAUUUCAAGGAAUGCGCGGGAAAAAGAAUUUUGACUCUUUGGAUUCGGAGGACUUUGGAAUUUUGAAACGUGCGAUCAUGGGCUUCCAGGGAAUGCGUGGAAAGAAAAACUCGAUAAUCGCUGACGUUGAAAAUCAACUUUUCCCCGAGGAGACUAAUAAGCGUGCGCCGAUGGGUUUUCAAGGCAUGAGAGGCAAGAAAGCUUCGUUAGAUGACGAAUACUACAAACGUGCACCGAUGGGAUUUCAAGGAAUGAGAGGCAAGAAAUCUCUCGAGGAGAUCUUAGAUGAAAUUAAAAAGACUACCACGAGAUUCCAAGAUCCAAGAAGCAAAGACAUGUACGUGAUCGAUUAUCCAGAAGAUUAUGAAAAGAGAAUAUUAUCGAUGGAAGGAUAUCCAAAUAUUUUCGAUAAGGAAGGCGAAUUCUUGUGGGAGAAGAGAGCUCCAAUGGGAUUCCACGGGAUGAGGGGCAAAAAAUUAAUUCUUGAUCCGUGGCAAGAUCUUGAUAAACAAGACGUUAUGGAGUUUCAGGGGCUGCAACGUAGGAAGGAUACGUUCGAUGAUUAUUUAGAUUAUUCGAUGAAUCCGUCAGAUUACGAGAAAAGGGCUGCGGAUUUUCAAGAUAUAGAAAGCGGUAGCGAUUCGUUUAAAAGAGCUCGCAUGGGUUUUCAUGGGAUGAGAGGUAAAAGAAACGUUGAGGAGAUUUACGGAUCUAAUUCGAGCCCUACGCAAACGACGAUCGGUUAUCAAGGCGUAAACAACCGGGGAAACAAUCUCGCUGUGUACGAAAUUGAAAAGCGAUCACCCUUCAGAUAUCUUGGAGUCAGAGGAAAGAAGAAUCCACGAUGGGAAUUCCGAGGAAAAUUCGUAGGGGUGAGGGGCAAAAAAGCGUCGUCUUUGCAAUCUGUCUAUUAAUGUAUUUCAGUAAAGAAACAUCGAAAGGAGUAUGAAUGAAGAUUCGUGAAUGUUAUUAGGUAAUUAGCAGUAAUAGCACUGGUUUUGUUGAUGACAACAAUGGCAACACAACAACAAUAAUCACUGUGUAAUGCUAGUCUUUUUGUUUAAACGUGUAUUAGACUGUAUCGCUUGAUAGGUAUACCUAAGGAUAGGGGAAGACAACGCGGUACUAUCAGCGGUAUUAUCAGCAGACUGUCCUCGUUAUUGUCAUUGCGUUCCAUGCGUACAUCGUGAAAGAAUACGUUGUCUUCUCCCCUCAAGAUUUUAGUUUCAACGACAUAUCCGUACACCGCCAAUGUACAUAUAUACGUAAACCUCGAGCGUAUUACAGAGCGCGUUCCUAUUUCUUAUAUUUUGAAAAGGACUUAAAAGACGUCACUCUCCCUCUUUCUCUUUAGUUGCUAAUUUAUUCUUACCGUUACCUUUUUAAUUUUGAUACAAAAAGAUAAUUUAUUUUUUACAUUCUCGAGACUGUUAUGUCGACUUAGGAAAAACUUAAAACGGACAUAAAUAAUAUAGAAGUAGAUAGAAGAUUCUAUUUUUCUUGGAAAAAGAAAUCAUCGAUAUAUAUGUAUACAGAUAUUUUACGCUUCAACCACCAAAUAAAAUUAAAUAUACUUUAAGUUCAUUCCUUUCUCGGAAUACAAUGUGAUUGUUAUGACUAUACAACACAAUAUUUUUAUACUAUCGAUGCCUCACCUCCUUUCAUGUUUUAUCACAUGAACGAUAUUUGUUAAACACAGCUUGUUUGCAAAUAAGUUUUAGAAUACGUAAUCGUUUAGUAUUCUACCCAAUGAUGAAGACCUAUCUAUGUUGUGAUUUGUAAGUGUGAAACAAGUCUCUGGCAAUUUAAAAAAGAGAAUAAAUAUCUAUAUAAGUUA
Molecule: RNA transcript, 2296 nt
Organism: Bombus terrestris (buff-tailed bumblebee)
Lineage: Eukaryota; Metazoa; Arthropoda; Insecta; Hymenoptera; Apidae
Gene: Tk
Gene name: tachykinins
Exons: 8
Source: RefSeq, a predicted model, not a curated record